AUGGUUUGGGGUGGAAAGAACCUUAAAACCCAUUCAGUCCCAUCCCCUGCCAUGGGCAGGGACACCUUCCACUAGCCCAGGUUGCUCCAAGCCCUGUCCUGAGCAGCCUUGGACAUUUGCAGGGAUCUAGGGGCAGCCACAGCUUCUCUGGUAACUUGUGCUGAGGCCUCCCCACCUUUAGGAACUUCUUCUGUAUGUACCAUCUAACCCUAUUUUCUGUCAGUCUGAGGCCAUUUUCCCUUCUUCUGUCACUCCACCCUGUGUAAAUUGUCUCUCUCCAUUUUUCUUGUAGCUCCUUCCGGCAGUGGAAAGCCAAAAUUGAGUCAAAUCCUAUUCUUCUCCAGGCUGAACAAUCCCACUUCUCCCAGCCUUUCCUCAUGUACUCUGUGCCUCAAGGAAGUGCUGUCAGUAAAAGCAAAUGUAGUCUUCUUUAUUUUUUAGGGUUUUAAAACUAUCAGGAUGAGACAGUACAAAAAAUUUAGCUCUUGCCUGCACAAAACCAAAGGAAACAAUCUGUUCUGUGAUAAGACCUAAAUACAACUAGCUCAGGGUGGAUGCCUAGCAAGCUCCCAAAAGUGAUUGCAGACUCUGGAUUCCAUGGAUCCAAACACCAGCCCCUUGAGAGGCAGCAGCUCGCAGCCAAGGUGCGAUAACCUCUCUCAGAAGUGACAAGACACAAACCUGCUGACCUUGGGAUAAAGGAGAUACUUUGGUACCUGCUUAACAAGAAUCCCACAGGCAGCAGUGAAUGCCAGGCUUUUAUUGCACACCAGUCUGAUCCUUGAGGAGCUUGGAGUGAUGUCAGAGGAACAAUGUCACAGGCGAGUGUCACAACACACAGGUGGAUCUGACACAGAAAGAGGAAGCAGCAGGACUCAAGCAAAAUUUUCUUCUCCUGGGGACAGCUUUAAGCACAUAGCUUGUGAACAAAACACACCCAAGAACCAAUGGCUGCAUCCUCCAAGGCCUGCAAAAUGAGGAGCAGGAUCAGAACCCUGAAACAGAGCACCUGGAAUGUGAAGAAGUCAUGGGGGUUUAGCCUGGGAUACUGUUAUAUUUUCCUGGAGUGAUGCUGCAAAGUGAGUUCACUCAUGUUUGACUUUCCUACAGAUAUUUUCCCUUGUUUGUGAUGAAAUUAGGAUUUGUGAUUAGUGCCAAGGCCUUUUUAACAGCAUUUUAAUUUGGAUCACCAGUGUGAGAAAAGAUUUGCUUUUAUUGACUUAUGCCUUACAUUUAACUUUCUACAAAUCCACUGCCCAAGAAAUUACAGAAUAAGUUUAUUCACAUUAUAAUCAAAGCCAAAAGUUCAUUUCCAGCAGUUUCAUCAUGUGCCAUUAGCGCUAAAUGAAAACUCUAUGUCUUUAAAUAAAUUCUCUUUGAAUUUCUAAUGUUUCUUUAAA
RNAcentral lists this long non-coding RNA (1400 nucleotides) under Cyanistes caeruleus (blue tit). RNAcentral's name for it is "lncRNA (ENSCCEG00000020478.1)". The record is from RNAcentral. Lineage: Eukaryota; Metazoa; Chordata; Aves; Passeriformes; Paridae.